RNAcentral lists this ribosomal RNA (460 nucleotides) under uncultured bacterium. RNAcentral describes it as "partial 16S ribosomal RNA". It matches the Rfam family "Bacterial small subunit ribosomal RNA", at positions 338 to 795 of the family's 1533-position model. The record is from RNAcentral.
CCUACGGGAGGCAGCAGUGAGGAAUCUUGGUCAAUGGCCGUAAGGCUGAACCAGCCAAGUAGCGUGAGGGAAGACUGCCCUAUGGGUUGUAAACCUCUUUUAUGCGGGGAUAAAGGUGUCCACGUGUGGCUGUUUGCAGGUACCGCAUGAAUAAGGACCGGCUAAUACCGUGCCAGCAGCCGCGGUAAUACGGAAGGUCCGGGCGUUAUCCGGAUUUAUUGGGGUUAAAGGGAGCGUAGGCCGGUCUUUAAGCGUGCCGUGAAAUUUUGGGGCUCAACCAUGAGAGUGCGGCGCGAACUGGAGACCUUGAGUGCGCGGAAGGCAGGCGGAAUUCGUGGUGUAGCGGUGAAAUGCUUAGAUAUCACGAAGAACCCCGAUUGCGAAGGCAGCCUGCCGCAGCGUUACUGACGCUGAAGCUCGAAAGCGCGGGUAUCGAACAGGAUUAGAUACCCCUGUAGUC